Molecule: long non-coding RNA, 276 nt
Filed under: Homo sapiens (human)
Lineage: Eukaryota; Metazoa; Chordata; Mammalia; Primates; Hominidae
Description: HSALNT0264553
Source: RNAcentral
GGUUUGACCGAGGAGGAAAGAAUGGCAGUUCCACAUCAUGACUGUCAACUGAGCAUCUCAGCUAAGCCAUGUAACAGGUGGAUGAAUGUCAGAAGGACAGCUGAACUGUGAGCCCUGGGAUGAAGUCACCUACAGCCCUAAGACCUGAAAUGCACAUCUCAGCAGAAGCCUGACUGCAGCCGUUAUCCUUGCUGUGGAGAUGAACCAAAGGCCCAAGCGUGAGUGACUUCAAGAUGAAACUCAGGAGCUGAGGCUCAGUGUGGACAUUAAAUUUCC